RNAcentral lists this transfer-messenger RNA (359 nucleotides) under Campylobacter jejuni. It matches the Rfam family "transfer-messenger RNA". Rfam says of the family: Bacterial tmRNA, also known as 10Sa RNA or SsrA, is named for its dual tRNA and mRNA-like properties. Its role is to liberate the mRNA from a stalled ribosome. Lineage: Bacteria; Pseudomonadati; Campylobacterota; Epsilonproteobacteria; Campylobacterales; Campylobacteraceae. RNAcentral also lists the same sequence under 1 other name. The record is from RNAcentral.
GGGAGCGACUUGGCUUCGACAGGAGUAAGUCUGCUUAGAUGGCAUGUCGCUUUGGGCAAAGCGUAAAAAGCCCAAAUAAAAUUAAACGCAAACAACGUUAAAUUCGCUCCUGCUUACGCUAAAGCUGCGUAAGUUCAGUUGAGCCUGAAAUUUAAGUCAUACUAUCUAGCUUAAUUUUCGGUCAUUUUUGAUAGUGUAGCCUUGCGUUUGACAAGCGUUGAGGUGAAAUAAAGUCUUAGCCUUGCUUUUGAGUUUUGGAAGAUGAGCGAAGUAGGGUGAAGUAGUCAUCUUUGCUAAGCAUGUAGAUGUCUUUGUGGGAUUAUUUUUGGACAGGGGUUCGAUUCCCCUCGCUUCCACCA